AUGAGUGCACUCUCUUGGAACUGCCGCGAUGCGGGCAAAGCCGCCACAGUUCAAGAAAUUCGCGACUUUGCGAAUAAAUUUUUCCCUACCCUUUUGUGUAUCGUCGAAACUCAGAUAGAAGGCUCAAGGGUAGAAGCAUUAUCAAGUACUUUUGCUUAUGAUAAUUGUUUUGCAAUUGAUAGCAGAGGCAGAAGUGGUGGCAUUGGUGUAUUAUGGAAUAAUGAAACAAAAGUUGAUUUUCUUGGUUACUCGGAGUAUCAUAUCGAUUGCUCAUUAUUGGAAGUGGGUCAGGACCCAUGGAGGUGCACUAUUGUAUAUGAAGAGGCCCAGACCCAUCUCAGACAUCGACCUUGUGAUAUGACCUUUAAUAACAAAAUGAAGGAUUUCACAUGUGUUAUACGAGCUACGCCACACAUUAAUCAAGAGAAGAGAGACGCAUGUUACUUGAAGGUCUCUGUACAUGCAAACACAGAAACCCCAGCUGCAUUUUAUGUUAGUUCUAUUUGCAUGGAGGUGCCACCAGCUAGUCCAAAGAAAGAUACGGUGAUGCCAAACUUCAGAACACCUCGAAGAUGGUAG
Molecule: ribosomal RNA, 579 nt
Filed under: Triticum aestivum (bread wheat)
Lineage: Eukaryota; Viridiplantae; Streptophyta; Magnoliopsida; Poales; Poaceae
Description: partial small subunit ribosomal RNA
Source: RNAcentral